Molecule: long non-coding RNA, 1290 nt
Filed under: Bos indicus x Bos taurus (hybrid cattle)
Lineage: Eukaryota; Metazoa; Chordata; Mammalia; Artiodactyla; Bovidae
Description: lncRNA (ENSBIXG00005005829.1)
Source: RNAcentral
GCAAUAUAUGGAGCAAUAUAGAAUCACAUUAUUCUGCCCCAUCCUUCCCAAGGUGGAUUGUUUCAGAGUCAAGAGGUCAGCCAGAUGCACAGGGAUGGAGCACUGCUAGUUUUCCUAGGAAAGGACUGGCAUUAACGGCCAGGCUCAUAAGAAUGCGCGCACAUUGUUGUUUUCUAUUGCCUUCUAUUUUACUUUCCUUUCUCUCCUCAGAGUGUGAUCAGGAGGGAGCAGAGUUCCAGGAGCACAAAAAGCAGAAAAGGACAGAUGCAGCCCAGAUCUCCACACUAUAAAAGGCCUCUGCAUUGAACAAGCCUGUGUGACGUGGCCAGGAAGCCACAGGGAGAUGCAUAUGCCAAUACACAUAGAAAUAGGGCUCCUUUUUUUUUUGUAAAGAAAACAGACUUCAUUUUUCCCUAGUGCCACUGAAACUAAAUGCUUGAGCCUGUUUUUAUAUGCAGAAAUAUCCCCAGUGCAAAAAGAAAGUUAAUUCAAGAAGCAAAUGUCUACCUACAGGUAUCUGAAACAAACAUGGUCAGGUAAUCCAGAUUUCAAAGGAAAAAUCCCAAUUGCUAAUGUUUAGUAAUUGUAUAGCUGAUUUUAUAUUAAUAUAAAACGCUAAAUUUCUUUGAAUUUUGCCUCAAUAGAGAUGUGUUGUGUGACACUAAAUGUGAGACACAAAUCAUAUAAUGAUUUAUUAUCAGCUUUUAUGUCCUAAUUUUUGUUUUUGAAAAAUGGAGUCACCAUUCUUAAAGGAAAACAGUAUCAGCCUUCAAAUUAGUGUCCUAAAGUAGACUGACCCCAAACUGACUUCAUCAGGAACCGGAUUGGUAUAAGGCAGGGCUAUAUCUUCAGAUCACGGCAAAACUCAGUGAUGGACACGGGGGUACACCCAUCAGAGCAGUGUGAGGCUGAACCACAUAGGGACUGGUCCAGAGCUCCUUACCCUGCCUGUGCCUUCCAAGAAGGUUUGCUUCCAGAUAUGAGAUAUAAGCCAGACUUACAGGUAUAAAGAGAUAGAACCCACGGCUAUCAGAAAAAAAAGGGAUGAGGGGUUAAACAGAUCACUGUGGUAAGGCCAUUUGUCCAUUAUGCUAAAGAAUAUCAGACAUUAAAAAAAAAUUUUAGAAUUUUAUAUUUGUUCCUAAAUUUUUAAACAAGUUCUUAAACUUGUUAAAAUUAUGUGUGAGAUAAAAAUAAGUUGGUUCUCAUAAGAAAGAAUGCCAUUUUACUAUUUGUAGCAACAUGGAUGAACUUGGAGUGGAAUAAGUCAAAGACAAAUGCUGUAUGGUA